GGUGCUGCCCCCCUCCAAAGAGGAGCUGCGGCAGGGGAGGGCCACGCUCAUGUGCCUGGCCAACAAGGGCUUCCCCUCAGACUGGAGGCUGGCCUGGAAGGUGGACGGCAGCAGCAGCAGCAGCAGCAGCAGCUGGGAGCAGAGCAGGAGCCCCGGGGUGCUGGAGAAGGACGGCCUCUACAGCUGGAGCAGCACCCUGAGGCUCACUGCAGACCAGUGGAGGAAGCUGGGCUCUGUCACCUGUGAGGCCACCCAGGGCUCCCAGUCUCCGCAGGUCGAGACACUGAGGAGAGACCAGUGUCCCCAGUAA
This is a non-coding RNA of Myripristis murdjan (pinecone soldierfish), 310 nucleotides long. The record is from the annotation of a RefSeq genome assembly. Lineage: Eukaryota; Metazoa; Chordata; Actinopteri; Holocentriformes; Holocentridae.